This 433-nucleotide ribosomal RNA is filed under the name uncultured bacterium. Its description in RNAcentral is "partial 16S ribosomal RNA". It matches the Rfam family "Bacterial small subunit ribosomal RNA", at positions 29 to 507 of the family's 1533-position model. The record is from RNAcentral.
AACGAACGCUGGCGGCAUGCCUAACACAUGCAAGUCGAACGAGACCUUCGGGUCUAGUGGCGCACGGGUGCGUAACGCGUGGGAACCUGCCCUUAGGUUCGGAAUAACUCUCCGAAAGGGGUGCUAAUACCGGAUAAUGUCUUCGGACCAAAGAUUUAUCGCCUUUGGAUGGGCCCGCGUUGGAUUAGCUUGUUGGUAGGGUAACAGCCUACCAAGGCGACGUUCCAUAGCUGGUCUGAGAGGAUGAUCAGCAACAACGGGACUGAGACACGGCCCCGACUCCUACGGAAGGCAGCAGUGGGGAAUAUUGGAGAAUGGGCCAAAGCCUGAUCCAGCAAUGCCGCGUAAGUGAUGAAGGCCUUAGGAUUGUAAAGCUCUUUUACCCGAGGUGAUAAUGACGGUACCUGGAGAAUAAGCUCCGGCUAACUCCGUG